RNAcentral lists this ribosomal RNA (544 nucleotides) under Trigonopterus sp. 590 MB-2015. RNAcentral describes it as "partial 16S ribosomal RNA". The record is from RNAcentral. Lineage: Eukaryota; Metazoa; Arthropoda; Insecta; Coleoptera; Curculionidae.
ACCUGGCUCACACCGGUUUAAACUCAGAUCAUGUAAAAUUUUCAAGGUCGAACAGACCUAAUCCGUUAGUCUCUUCACCAACAAUUAAUUUUAAUCCAACAUCGAGGUCGCAAUCUUUCAUUUCGAUAAGAACUCUAAAAAAAAUUACGCUGUUAUCCCUAAGGUAAUUUAAUCUUAUAAUCUUAAUUCUAGGAUCAAAUAUUCAUAAAUAAAUGGCUAUUUACAAAAAAAGUUCAUUAAAUUUUUCUAUCACCCCAACAAAAUAUUUUUUCAGCCAAAAUAAUUACAUAAAUCCUCAAUUUAAAUAAACUUUUAAAUAUAAAACUCUAUAGGGUCUUCUCGUCUUCUAUAUAUAUUUAAGCUUUUUUACUUAAAAAUAAAAUUCUAAUAAAUUUUUACAGAGACAGAAAUCUUUUCAUCAAACCUUUCAUUCCAGCUUUCAAUUAAAAAACUAAUGAUUAUGCUACCUUUGCACGGUUAGUAUACCGCGGCCAUUUAAACCUAUCAUUGGGCAGGUCAGACUUAAAAUUAUCAUCAAUAAGCC